CAGAACUCCGCAGUUAAGUGCGCUUGGGCUAGAGUAGUACUGGGAUGGGUGACCUCCCGGGAGGUCAUGGUGUUGCACCCU
Molecule: non-coding RNA, 81 nt
Organism: Picea glauca (white spruce)
Lineage: Eukaryota; Viridiplantae; Streptophyta; Pinopsida; Pinales; Pinaceae
Source: Rfam